This 305-nucleotide ribosomal RNA is filed under the name uncultured bacterium. RNAcentral describes it as "bacterial SSU rRNA". It matches the Rfam family "Bacterial small subunit ribosomal RNA", at positions 333 to 635 of the family's 1533-position model. The record is from RNAcentral.
GGGGGCCUACGGGGCGCAGCAGUGAGGAAUAUUGGUCAAUGGGCGGAAGCCUGAACCAGCCACGUCGCGUGAGGGAAUAAGGCCCUACGGGUCGUAAACCUCUUUUGCCGGGGAGCAAGGGCCGGGACGCGUCCCGGCCCGGAGAGUACCCGGAGAAAAAGCAUCGGCUAACUCCGUGCCAGCAGCCGCGGUAAUACGGAGGAGGCGGGCGUUAUCCGGAUUUAUUGGGUUUAAAGGGUGCGUAGGCGGGCUUUUAAGUCCGCGGAAAAAAUUCGGGGCUCAAGCCCGUCCGGCCGUUGAAACUG